RNAcentral lists this transfer RNA (76 nucleotides) under Escherichia coli. RNAcentral's name for it is "tRNA-Asn". It matches the Rfam family "tRNA". Rfam says of the family: Transfer RNA (tRNA) molecules are approximately 80 nucleotides in length. Their secondary structure includes four short double-helical elements and three loops (D, anti-codon, and T loops). Further hydrogen bonds mediate the characteristic L-shaped molecular structure. tRNAs have two regions of fundamental functional importance: the anti-codon, which is responsible for specific mRNA codon recognition, and the 3' end, to which the tRNAs corresponding amino acid is attached (by aminoacyl-tRNA synthetases). tRNAs cope with the degeneracy of the genetic code in two manners: having more than one tRNA (with a specific anti-codon) for a particular amino acid; and 'wobble' base-pairing, i.e. permitting non-standard base-pairing at the 3rd anti-codon position. Lineage: Bacteria; Pseudomonadati; Pseudomonadota; Gammaproteobacteria; Enterobacterales; Enterobacteriaceae. RNAcentral also lists the same sequence under 1 other name. The record is from RNAcentral.
UCCUCUGUAGUUCAGUCGGUAGAACGGCGGACUGUUAAUCCGUAUGUCACUGGUUCGAGUCCAGUCAGAGAAGCCA